Long non-coding RNA from Balaenoptera ricei (Rice's whale), 415 nucleotides. RefSeq lists it as uncharacterized. The record is from RefSeq and is a predicted model, not a curated record. The transcript is spliced from 4 exons. NCBI's taxonomy places the organism in Eukaryota, Metazoa, Chordata, Mammalia, Artiodactyla, Balaenopteridae.
UGAGAAUGGCAGCUGGAGGUUGGAGAACGUUCCUUGCAUAAUGAAAGCAACCCUUACGGAUCCAGCUGAGCUUCCAGGUCAGCAGAGAUCCCAGACUGAAAGAGCAGCAGCUACCUCGGGGAGAGUGGGAGUUCUUCUCAUGAUAAUGACAGAAGUAUAAGAAGGAUCUCUGUGUUGUGUUUCUGUGACCGCCGGCUGUGAGAUGGUAUACCUUCCGAGCAGAUAGAUGAGAGAAGAAGCUUGUCCUAUAGGAAUCCAUCUCCUGUCUACCCUGGAGAGCCUCAUCCAUCACUUGUCUUUGCAGACACCCAGCUGAUGCAUGCUCAGCAAGGAGACACCCUCGAUUGAGUUUGUGAAAGGUCCCUUUACUAAGAUGGAAGCAUUGAGUCUACAGUCUUGAAUCUCUCUAAGAUAC